GACGAACGCUGGCGGCGCGCUUAACACAUGCAAGUCGAACGAUGAAGCUGGAGCUUGCUCCGGUGGAUUAGUGGCGAACGGGUGAGUAACACGUGAGCAAUCUGCCCUUGACUCUGGGAUAACUGCGGGAAACUGUAGCUAAUACCGGAUACGAGAUUUGGAGGCAUCUCCGGAUCUGGAAAGAAUUUCGGUCAAGGAUGAGCUCGCGGCCUAUCAGCUUGUUGGUGAGGUAAUGGCUCACCAAGGCGACGACGGGUAGCCGGCCUGAGAGGGUGACCGGCCACACUGGGACUGAGACACGGCCCAGACUCCUACGGGAGGCAGCAGUGGGGAAUAUUGCACAAUGGGCGAAAGCCUGAUUCAGCAACGCCGCGUGAGGGAUGAAGGCCUUCGGGUUGUAAACCUCUUUUAGUAGGGAAGAAGCGAAAGUGACGGUACCUACAGAAAAAGCACCGGCUAACUACGUGCCAGCAGCCGCCGUAA
This 483-nucleotide ribosomal RNA is filed under the name uncultured bacterium. RNAcentral describes it as "partial 16S ribosomal RNA". It matches the Rfam family "Bacterial small subunit ribosomal RNA", at positions 28 to 523 of the family's 1533-position model. The record is from RNAcentral.